Equus caballus (horse) is the source of this 3689-nucleotide long non-coding RNA. NCBI's taxonomy places the organism in Eukaryota, Metazoa, Chordata, Mammalia, Perissodactyla, Equidae. The record is from Ensembl.
CGGUGUGGAGCGCUCGGCCAGCAUCCCGCCGCCGCCUUCCGCAGCCGGGCCUUGCUCGUGCUCUCGCGAGACGAGCUGUAAUCUCGGCGGGGCUCGAGAGAGGGGCCUGGCAGGAGCGUUCGGAACCCCGGGAAGCAGAAAGGUGUGCUCCGCGUUUCCCGCGCGGGUUCUCCCGCCUCGGCUCUGAGCGGACUGGAGGGGUCAGUUGGACCACCUGCCUGCGUCGUCACGGAGGGCCCCCUGGAAAAGGCGGAGGGGCGGGUGUGGAUCCUCAGAGCCUCCUGGAACUCGCUGUGCAGCCACAUCAGUUUGCCAAGCCCUGGUCACCCCAAUCCCCAGCUUCUUCCUCAACCUACCUAGCCCGUUGUUGAUGUACCAGCGCGUCUCAGGAUCAAGUGCACGUGUGUAGCUACAACAGAGUUCUGAAAGUGUGAAACGUACUAAACCAAGCAUGUGUGCGGAGUGGCCUCACAGGCGAACUCAGAAUACUCAGAACUCUUUUACCAGCUGAGGAAACCAUCCUACUCCUUUCUCCCACCCUCCAGACUCCCAGGUCACCAGUAUUUGGUAUUUGAGAACUGUGAGUACCAGUCUUGUGGGAAGUGAAGAGAGAUUUAAGUUUAUGCUAAUCUUCCCCUCUCAAAGCCUAAUUACUUAAAGGCCAUUGGUCUGUGUGAACUCCUACAGCUAUUAAGAGUUAGGGAAGUCACAUAUUAAUUAUUCAAAUGAUUGAUCUGCUGGAUGAAUUAGCCCCCACCUUCCCCUCAUGUCCCAGCCUCUGAGGUGCUUUCCCCAUUUGUCAGCCACUGUGUACCGUGGGAUGCAAGCUGUCCCUAAUUGUUGGAGCAGUACAUCUGCUGAUCCAAAAAAUAAGAAGUACAUGCAGAUGGUAACAUUCUGGGUUCAGUCGCUUAGAAGAUUUCUCGUGCAUUACAGCGCUGCUCCUUUCUAUUACCACAGACCCUCAAGGGUAGCUGCGAAGGGAAGAAUUUAGUGGCAAUCUGUGCCCACAUCCAGAUAAGGGAUGGACUGCUCCAGGCUCUUUGAUGUCCAGAAGAGCCUAGAGUCUGUGGGGUGGGAUUUCCCUGAGAGCAGUACUUCCAUUCCUCAAAGACAGCCUGGGAGAGUGAAAAAACAAACACACGGAAAAAUAGGACAACUGAAGCCUGACGAAAUAAGCUGGUACCUUACCCACCCCAGGGCAUCUUGUGAGUUCAGCUUUGCUGGGUCUUGCAGAAAAAUCACUCACUGUUUCUCUGUCUUUUAUAGAGACAUGUUUUCUUAUUAUUCCAUAAGGAGUGGCUAUGUAUUGUACAAACUACAGGAAUCACAGAUAAGCAAAAUAACAUACAGCUAACUGCAGAUGAGCAAAGUAAAAUAUAAUAAAACAAAAAUCACCUGUAAUCCUACCCAUACUAUCACUGCUACACUUUGCUAUAUAUCCUUCCAGUCCUGUGUUUGUGUUUGUGUGUGUGUAUGUGUGUGUGUGUGCAUGUGUUUUAGUAAAAAUGAGGUCAUAUUGUAAAUGCUAUUUGACAGUCUGCCUUUUUAAUCAACAAUAUUAUGAAGGCUUUUCAUGGCUUCAAAUUUUCUGCUUUAUUACCGUUAUUAUUGAAAAUAAAUUCUCAAUAUAUGGUAGCUACUUUUAUGUGCCAUGCACUAUGCUAAGAGCUCCAAUUAAGUCAUGUCAUUUAGUCAUUUCUGUGACUCUAGGAAGUGGAUAUCAUUAUCCCCAUUUCACAGAUUAGGAAAUUAAGUCUCAGAGCUUGAGUAAUUUAAAAUAUGCCACAAAAGUGGUAAGUGACAUCACAGAUUAGAGCCCAGUUCUGCUGAGAAAGCUCAGGUUUUUAAUCAAUAUGAUAAGACUUCCGCUUAGCAUCAUCUUCUAAUAAUCUUUUGAGUAAAAACAGGGAUAGAUCAACAGGUAGUAGGUGAAUCAGGCAACUGACAAUCAAAAGACAUACAGAAACAAAUGUAAGUAUAAUCAAGCAUAUCAUCAUAUACAUGGAUGUGCAGGGGUGUUUGUAGAUCACAGAGAUAUAAUGAUACAAUCCGGGAUCAAAAGAAGGAAAAUCAGAAGUGAGAGUGAGGUCAGAGGAAAUGACAUGGAAAGUGUUUUUCAUCCUUUCCCUGGGCAAGUUGAGGACAUCUCUGAGAAGUAGAAACUACCCUUUAUCUCCUUUUCAUCCUUAUAACCAAUCUUCUUCAGUCACAUUUGGUGGCUCCCCUUCCUUGUCUCACCCACUAGCUGGGGAUAUUUCCCAAGGAAGACCACAUUCUUUUCUUUCCUUUUCUCCCUCAGGUGUCUCAGGCCUCCGGAUAGCCUACCUCUUAUCAUCAGAUGAUUUUCAAGUCAAUAUCUAGCUCUCCCCUUUAUCCAGAGUUAUGCUUCUGCAGCUCCAAAUGCCUGUGGAUUGCUCUACGUGCAUAUCCCAGUCAUUUCAAAUUCAAGAUGUAGAGCUCAACUCUCCCCUCCAAAAUUGAUUCUCCUUCUCAUCCCUCAAUUUCUGUUAGUGGCAUUAUUGCUCUCUCACUCUCUGGGCUCCAAUCUCAACUUAUCUUUGAUCAUUCCUCUUCCAUAGCCCACUUCUAAGCAGCUCCUCCCCACCACACCUUGCUCAGAGAAGUAAGCCCUAGCCUUUCCUUGAGCAUAAAUUGAAGGGUGGUAGCAGGUAUAAGCCUGGGGUCACACAUUCCAACAGGAUUCCAUCACAGGUGCAUCUGACCCACCACAAAAGGGAAGAGAGAACACGAUGAAUAUCUUUUGUUUUGGCCUGCCCAGUGUCCCUUCUUCUAGUAAUGGAAUCAUCUCUUCAUUUGGAGAAGACAACCCUCCCCCAUUAUCCAUCCACAGUUUUCAAGUGGGGCUGACUCACUUCCCAGCUCCAAAAGCCUGGGCACCUGAAUCAGGCCAGACUAAUCAGAGUCAGAGAGAGUGGACCAGGAAUGGACAUGUGACUCAAUCUAGGCCAAUGGAAAUCAUUCCAGGUACUUUUGUGGAACAGAGUGGGAAGAGAUUCUCCCUUUUUUAUAAAUAAUUUUUUCUUUUCUCCUCAAAGCCCCAGUACAUAGUUGUAUAUCCUACUUGUAAGUCCUUCUAGUUCUUCUAUGUGGGAUGCUGCCUCAGCAUGGCUUGAUGAGCAGUGUGUAGGUCCAUGCCCAGGAUCCGAACCAGUGAACCCCGGGCUGCCAAAGCGGAGUGUGCGAACUCAGCCACUAUGCCACCACACUGCCCUGAGACUCUCCUUUUUAUAGUUGAUGGAAAAUAAUUGUGAAACUUUCUGAUGGCUGUUUCUGUCGUGACUUGGGAGGCCGCUAGCUGAGAAUAAGGACCAGACAAAAGAGAGAUGGAGCACUGAAGACAUCUUUGACUAUCUAGAUCCAACCGUGUUUGAAGCCAAACAAUCCCUACACUUACACACGUGAUGGGAGUAUACUUCCAUAUCCUCUUUGAAGUUAGAUGUGGAACGGGACCUGCUUUGACCAAUGACAUGGGAGCAGAUAUUUUAAGAGCCAAUACAAAUUCUCCCACUUCUUUCUCUCUCCAUAGCAACCAGCGGUACUCCAGUUAGUGUUUCUCACGUCAGCCUGGUGUCCAGAGUGAGAGUAACGUGGAACAGAGCCCCCAGCUGACCUGUGACGGACACAUAGCAUGAGAAAGAAAUAAACCUUAUUUUUUUCAACUACUG